This 253-nucleotide ribosomal RNA is filed under the name uncultured bacterium. RNAcentral's name for it is "partial 16S ribosomal RNA". It matches the Rfam family "Bacterial small subunit ribosomal RNA", at positions 524 to 776 of the family's 1533-position model. The record is from RNAcentral.
UACAUGGGGUGCAAACGUUGCUCGGAAUUAUUGGGCGUAAAGCGCGCGUAGGCGGUUACUUAAGUCGGAUGUGAAAGCCCUCGGCUUAACUGAGGAAGUGCACCCGAAACUGAGUAGCUAGAGUACGAAAGAGGGUCGCGGAAUUCCCGGUGUAGAGGUGAAAUUCGUAGAUAUCGAGAGGAACACCGGUGGCGAAGGCGGCCUUCUGGACAGUGACUGACGCUGAGACGCGAAAGCGUGGGGAGCAAACAGG